CUCAGCCUUAUCUUAGGUGUCUGUCCUUCUCCCCAUACAGAUGGCUCAUUCCAGGUCCUGUCAACAGUACCGCACGCUCUUUAGGCUAGAGCGAUAGAAGUCACCCAGUGACGUGCCACAGGCCGGACAUCUCCACAUCUUCCCAACACACACAGGCUCCUCGGUCCCUAGGCGGGCUAGCAACGCCGUCGCUCGUCAACCAGGAAAGGGGGUGAAAGUAGCCACCUGAACAACUGGACUCUCCUGCAUGGCAUUUUGGCCCCUCUGAGGUAAGCGUAACUGUUAAGAAACCUUGCUGUUCAUACAUCCACUGCAAAACACACUACCCAUCAAG
RNAcentral lists this long non-coding RNA (334 nucleotides) under Struthio camelus australis. RNAcentral describes it as "lncRNA (ENSSCUG00000011339.1)". Lineage: Eukaryota; Metazoa; Chordata; Aves; Struthioniformes; Struthionidae. The record is from RNAcentral.